RNAcentral lists this ribosomal RNA (305 nucleotides) under uncultured bacterium. RNAcentral's name for it is "bacterial SSU rRNA". It matches the Rfam family "Bacterial small subunit ribosomal RNA", at positions 338 to 661 of the family's 1533-position model. The record is from RNAcentral.
CCUACGGGAGGCAGCAGUGGGGAAUAUUGCACAAUGGGGGAAACCCUGAUGCAGCGACGCCGCGUGAGUGAAGAAGUAUUUCGGUAUGUAAAGCUCUAUCAGCAGGGAAGAAAAUGACGGUACCUGACCAAGAAGCCCCGGCUAACUACGUGCCAGCAGCCGCGGUAAUACGUAGGGGGCAAGCGUUAUCCGGAUUUACUGGGUGUAAAGGGAGCGUAGACGGCUGAGCAAGUCAGAAGUGAAAGCCCGGGGCUCAACCCCGGCCCGCCGUUGAAACUGGCAGUCUCGAGUUGGAGAGAAGUAUG